This 225-nucleotide non-coding RNA is filed under the name Onchocerca ochengi. RNAcentral's name for it is "Eukaryotic large subunit ribosomal RNA". It matches the Rfam family "Eukaryotic large subunit ribosomal RNA", at positions 808 to 1042 of the family's 3401-position model. The record is from Rfam by way of RNAcentral. Lineage: Eukaryota; Metazoa; Nematoda; Chromadorea; Rhabditida; Onchocercidae.
AUCAAGGUCAACAAAUAAUCUGAAACAAAAGGAUGAAGACAGAGGAAACUGUGGUAAAGAUUCGAAGCGAUUCUGACAUGCAAAAUCGAUCAUUUCACUUUGGUAGACUAAUCAAACUAUCGAAUAACUGAUUCCCUCUGAAAUUUGUCUCAGAAUAGCUGGAGUACGUAAUGAAGCUGUUAUAUUCGGUAAAAAGAAUGAUUUAGAGGAAUUGCGGGACGAAAC